RNAcentral lists this ribosomal RNA (1170 nucleotides) under Pseudoalteromonas sp. Its description in RNAcentral is "bacterial SSU rRNA". It matches the Rfam family "Bacterial small subunit ribosomal RNA", at positions 56 to 1226 of the family's 1533-position model. The record is from RNAcentral. Lineage: Bacteria; Pseudomonadati; Pseudomonadota; Gammaproteobacteria; Alteromonadales; Pseudoalteromonadaceae.
UGCAGUCGAGCGGUAACAUUUCUAGCUUGCUAGAAGAUGACGAGCGGCGGACGGGUGAGUAAUGCUUGGGAAUAUGCCUUAGGGUGGGGGACAACAGUUGGAAACGACUGCUAAUACCGCAUAACGUCUACGGACCAAAGGGGGCUUCGGCUCUCGCCCUUAGAUUAGCCCAAGUGGGAUUAGCUAGUUGGUGAGGUAAUGGCUCACCAAGGCGACGAUCCCUAGCUGGUUUGAGAGGAUGAUCAGCCACACUGGAACUGAGACACGGUCCAGACUCCUACGGGAGGCAGCAGUGGGGAAUAUUGCACAAUGGGCGCAAGCCUGAUGCAGCCAUGCCGCGUGUGUGAAGAAGGCCUUAGGGUUGUAAAGCACUUUCAGUAAGGAGGAAAGGUUAGUAGUUAAUACCUGCUAGCUGUGACGUUACUUACAGAAGAAGCACCGGCUAACUCCGUGCCAGCAGCCGCGGUAAUACGGAGGGUGCGAGCGUUAAUCGGAAUUACUGGGCGUAAAGCGUACGCAGGCGGUUUGUUAAGCGAGAUGUGAAAGCCCCGGGCUCAACCUGGGAACUGCAUUUCGAACUGGCAAACUAGAGUAUGAUAGAGGGUGGUAGAAUUUCAGGUGUAGCGGUGAAAUGCGUAGAGAUCUGAAGGAAUACCGAUGGCGAAGGCAGCCACCUGGGUCAAUACUGACGCUCAUGUACGAAAGCGUGGGGAGCAAACGGGAUUAGAUACCCCGGUAGUCCACGCCGUAAACGAUGUCUACUAGGAGCUGGGGUCUUCGGACAACUUUUCCAAAGCUAACGCAUUAAGUAGACCGCCUGGGGAGUACGGCCGCAAGGUUAAAACUCAAAUGAAUUGACGGGGGCCCGCACAAGCGGUGGAGCAUGUGGUUUAAUUCGAUGCAACGCGAAGAACCUUACCUACACUUGACAUACAGAGAACUUACCAGAGAUGGUUUGGUGCCUUCGGGAACUCUGAUACAGGUGCUGCAUGGCUGUCGUCAGCUCGUGUUGUGAGAUGUUGGGUUAAGUCCCGCAACGAGCGCAACCCCUAUCCUUAGUUGCCAGCGAUUCGGUCGGGAACUCUAAGGAGACUGCCGGUGAUAAACCGGAAGAAGGUGGGGACAACGUCAAGUCAUCAGGGCCCUUACGUGUAGGGCUACCAACGUGCU